Molecule: ribosomal RNA, 432 nt
Filed under: uncultured bacterium
Lineage: Bacteria
Description: partial 16S ribosomal RNA
Rfam family: Bacterial small subunit ribosomal RNA
Source: RNAcentral
AACGAACGCUGGCGGCAUGCCUAACACAUGCAAGUCGAACGAGACCUUCGGGCUUAGUGGCGCACGGGUGCGUAACGCGGGGGAACCUGCCCUUAGGUUCGGAAGAACUCCCGGAAAAGGGUGCUAAUACCGGAGAAUGUCCUCCGACCAAAGAUUUAUCGCCUUUGGAUGGGCUUGAGUUGGAUUAGCUAGUUGGUAGGGUAAGAGCCUACCAAGGCGACGAUCCAUAGCUGGUCUGAGAGGAUGAUCAGCCACACUGGGACUGGGACACGGCCCAGACUCCUGCGGGAGGCAGCAGUGGGGAAUAUUGGACAAUGGGCGAAAGCCUGAUCCAGCCAUGCCGCGUGAGUGAUGAAGGCCUUAGGGUUGUAAGGCUCUUUUACCCGGGAUGAUAAUGACUGAACCGGGAGAAUAAGCUCGGGCUAACUCCGU